CAUGCAGUCGAGCGGUAGCACAGAGAGCUUGCUCUCGGGUGACGAGCGGCGGACGGGUGAGUAAUGUCUGGGAAACUGCCUGAUGGAGGGGGAUAACUACUGGAAACGGUAGCUAAUACCGCAUAACGUCGCAAGACCAAAGUGGGGGACCUUCGGGCCUCAUGCCAUCAGAUGUGCCCAGAUGGGAUUAGCUAGUAGGUGGGGUAACGGCUCACCUAGGCGACGAUCCCUAGCUGGUCUGAGAGGAUGACCAGCCACACUGGAACUGAGACACGGUCCAGACUCCUACGGGAGGCAGCAGUGGGGAAUAUUGCACAAUGGGCGCAAGCCUGAUGCAGCCAUGCCGCGUGUGUGAAGAAGGCCUUCGGGUUGUAAAGCACUUUCAGCGGGGAGGAAGGCGAUAAGGUUAAUAACCUUGUCGAUUGACGUUACCCGCAGAAGAAGCACCGGCUAACUCCGUGCCAGCAGCCGCGGUAAUACGGAGGGUGCAAGCGUUAAUCGGAAUUACUGGGCGUAAAGCGCACGCAGGCGGUCUGUCAAGUCGGAUGUGAAAUCCCCGGGCUCAACCUGGGAACUGCAUUCGAAACUGGCAGGCUAGAGUCUUGUAGAGGGGGGUAGAAUUCCAGGUGUAGCGGUGAAAUGCGUAGAGAUCUGGAGGAAUACCGGUGGCGAAGGCGGCCCCCUGGACAAAGACUGACGCUCAGGUGCGAAAGCGUGGGGAGCAAACAGGAUUAGAUACCCUGGUAGUCCACGCCGUAAACGAUGUCGAUUUGGAGGUUGUGCCCUUGAGGCGUGGCUUCCGGAGCUAACGCGUUAAAUCGACCGCCUGGGGAGUACGGCCGCAAGGUUAAAACUCAAAUGAAUUGACGGGGGCCCGCACAAGCGGUGGAGCAUGUGGUUUAAUUC
Molecule: ribosomal RNA, 906 nt
Filed under: Klebsiella pneumoniae
Lineage: Bacteria; Pseudomonadati; Pseudomonadota; Gammaproteobacteria; Enterobacterales; Enterobacteriaceae
Description: bacterial SSU rRNA
Rfam family: Bacterial small subunit ribosomal RNA
Source: RNAcentral